Molecule: ribosomal RNA, 1094 nt
Filed under: Vibrio sp. SRB-12-25
Lineage: Bacteria; Pseudomonadati; Pseudomonadota; Gammaproteobacteria; Vibrionales; Vibrionaceae
Description: bacterial SSU rRNA
Rfam family: Bacterial small subunit ribosomal RNA
Source: RNAcentral
AGCCUGAUGCAGCCAUGCCGCGUGUAUGAAGAAGGCCUUCGGGUUGUAAAGUACUUUCAGUCGUGAGGAAGGCGGCGUCGUUAAUAGCUGCGUUGUUUGACGUUAGCGACAGAAGAAGCACCGGCUAACUCCGUGCCAGCAGCCGCGGUAAUACGGAGGGUGCGAGCGUUAAUCGGAAUUACUGGGCGUAAAGCGCAUGCAGGUGGUUUGUUAAGUCAGAUGUGAAAGCCCGGGGCUCAACCUCGGAAUAGCAUUUGAAACUGGCAGACUAGAGUACUGUAGAGGGGGGUAGAAUUUCAGGUGUAGCGGUGAAAUGCGUAGAGAUCUGAAGGAAUACCGGUGGCGAAGGCGGCCCCCUGGACAGAUACUGACACUCAGAUGCGAAAGCGUGGGGAGCAAACAGGAUUAGAUACCCUGGUAGUCCACGCCGUAAACGAUGUCUACUUGGAGGUUGUGGCCUUGAGCCGUGGCUUUCGGAGCUAACGCGUUAAGUAGACCGCCUGGGGAGUACGGUCGCAAGAUUAAAACUCAAAUGAAUUGACGGGGGCCCGCACAAGCGGUGGAGCAUGUGGUUUAAUUCGAUGCAACGCGAAGAACCUUACCUACUCUUGACAUCCAGAGAACUUUCCAGAGAUGGAUUGGUGCCUUCGGGAACUCUGAGACAGGUGCUGCAUGGCUGUCGUCAGCUCGUGUUGUGAAAUGUUGGGUUAAGUCCCGCAACGAGCGCAACCCUUAUCCUUGUUUGCCAGCGAGUAAUGUCGGGAACUCCAGGGAGACUGCCGGUGAUAAACCGGAGGAAGGUGGGGACGACGUCAAGUCAUCAUGGCCCUUACGAGUAGGGCUACACACGUGCUACAAUGGCGCAUACAGAGGGCGGCCAACUUGCGAAAGUGAGCGAAUCCCAAAAAGUGCGUCGUAGUCCGGAUUGGAGUCUGCAACUCGACUCCAUGAAGUCGGAUCGCUAGUAUCGUGGAUCAGAUGCCACGGUGAAUACGUUCCCGGCUGUACACACGCCCGUCACACCAUGGGAGUGGGCUGCAAAGAAGUAGUAGUUUACUUCGGGGGACGCUUACCACUUUGGGUCAUGACUGGUA